AGGGCACCACCAGGAGUGGAGCCUGCGGCUUAAUUUGACUCAACACGGGAAAUCUCACCAGGCCCGGACACCGGAAGGAUUGACAGAUUGAGAGCUCUUUCUUGAUUCGGUGGGUGGUGGUGCAUGGCCGUUCUUAGUUGGUGGAGCGAUUUGUCUGGUUAAUUCCGAUAACGAACGAGACUCUGGCCUACUAACUAGACGUUGGAUCCCUUUGUGGGUCCAUCGCAGCUUCUUAGAGGGACGGGCGGCGUUUAGCCGCACGAGAUUGAGCAAUAACAGGUCUGUGAUGCCCUUAGAUGUUCUGGGCUGCACGCGCGCUACACUGAAGGAAUCAGCGUGUGUUCCCUAUCCGAGAGGAUUGGGAAACCCGUUGAACCUCCUUCGUGAUGGGGAUUGGGGAUUGCAAUUAUUCCCCAUGAACGAGGAAUUCCCAGUAGGCGCGAGUCAUAAGCUUGCGUCGAUUACGUCCCUGCCCUUUGUACACACCGCCCGUCGCUACUACCGAUCGAGUGAUUUAGU
This 519-nucleotide ribosomal RNA is filed under the name uncultured eukaryote. RNAcentral's name for it is "SSU rRNA". It matches the Rfam family "Eukaryotic small subunit ribosomal RNA", at positions 1161 to 1702 of the family's 1831-position model. The record is from RNAcentral.